UGAGCUAUGGCGGACGGGGAGUCCGAUAGCAAUAAAAUUUGGAUCCUUUGUGUAGGAUCAACCCCACUCAAUGUUUCAGUCACUAUAGAAAAGCUCUACAAAAACUCUUUUGAAAACGAGCCCGUGCAUGUGUUGAAAAUCUAGCUUUAUUGCAAAUGAACCCUAGCCUAUCCUUGUUAUAUCCUGUGCAUACACUUGUUUGUAUCCUCCUCCGUGGAUGGGGUUGGACUUGUUGAGUAUGUU
Molecule: long non-coding RNA, 243 nt
Filed under: Setaria viridis
Lineage: Eukaryota; Viridiplantae; Streptophyta; Magnoliopsida; Poales; Poaceae
Description: long non-coding RNA (SVIR_LNC006641)
Source: RNAcentral